GUAGUCUGNAACCCGACUACAUGAAGCUGGAAUCGCUAGUAAUCGCGGAUCAGAAUGCCGCGGUGAAUACGUUCCCGGGUCUUGUACACACCGCCCGUCACACCAUGGGAGUCGGGGACACCCGAAGUCUGUGAGCUGACCGCAAGGAGGCAGCAGCCGAAGGUGGAUUCGAUGAUUGGGGUUAAGUCGUAACAAGGUACC
This 201-nucleotide ribosomal RNA is filed under the name uncultured bacterium. RNAcentral's name for it is "partial 16S ribosomal RNA". It matches the Rfam family "Bacterial small subunit ribosomal RNA", at positions 1300 to 1500 of the family's 1533-position model. The record is from RNAcentral.